This is a long non-coding RNA of Chenopodium quinoa (quinoa), 610 nucleotides long. RefSeq lists it as uncharacterized. The transcript has 3 exons. The record is from RefSeq and is a predicted model, not a curated record. Lineage: Eukaryota; Viridiplantae; Streptophyta; Magnoliopsida; Caryophyllales; Amaranthaceae.
AACAAAUCUAGAUCAUUGAUCAAAUUAAAUCUAACCGUCCAAAAAGAACAUAGUAAUGACAUUUCCGUAAUUUCAUGAAUCUAUACACCCCAUUCUCUCUUUCCUAUUCUUCUUAGCUUUCACGUUCAACAUCUCUUUCUCUCUCUAAACUUUUUGUUGUUCUCUCUCUCCUCAUAUCAGUGGUUUUUGGGGAAAUUCUAUACUAAUUUAAAGUUUUCGUGAUUUUUAUGCUUAAACCAUAGAAAUCGCCAAUUGCAAAUGGAUUCAGUCGAACAUGUGAACGAUGAACCAAAAUCGAAAGCUGUUAUUUAUGAACGAAGAAGGAGGCAUGGCAAUGACAGUUUUCACUUUUUCACCAAUUUUAUUUGGAAAUUUUUCGAAGUGGCUUUGAUAUACAAUUGUACGAUAUUGAAAAUCAAUUUUGAUUGAGGUUAAGCUAAAUAAUGCUGGUUUGUAUGUCUUGACUUAAUGACUUGCUUCUUUUGGCAUCAGAAAUUGCUUUUGUUUGCUGGUUUUUAUGUUAGGGGUAUUAAUUUUAGAGUGUUAUUUUGUUAUAUGUGAUGAAUCAACUCGAUAAAUAUAUUGAUGAGAUUGCUAAUUAUGAGAGAUU